This 183-nucleotide unclassified non-coding RNA is filed under the name uncultured Ophiocordycipitaceae. RNAcentral's name for it is "sequence contains ITS1". Lineage: Eukaryota; Fungi; Ascomycota; Sordariomycetes; Hypocreales. The record is from RNAcentral.
CCGAGUUUCACCGACUCCCAAACCCCUGUGAACCUACCACACGUUGCUUCGGCGGACCGCCCCGGCGCCCCUCGCCUCCCCCCGGGGGGGCGGCAGGCCCGGAGCCAGGCGCCCGCCGGGGGACCCAAACUCUUGCCUUCGCUCCGGCGGAAUGUUCUUCUGAGUCGCGAAACGAAUGAAUCA